RNAcentral lists this ribosomal RNA (490 nucleotides) under uncultured bacterium. Its description in RNAcentral is "partial 16S ribosomal RNA". It matches the Rfam family "Bacterial small subunit ribosomal RNA", at positions 30 to 507 of the family's 1533-position model. The record is from RNAcentral.
AUUGAACGCUGGCGGCAGGCCUAACACAUGCCAGUCGAACGGUAACAGGAAGAAGCUUGCUUCUUUGCUGACGAGUGGCGGACGGGUGAGUAAUGUCUGGGAAACUGCCUGAUGGCGGGGGAUAACUACUGGAAACGGUAGCUAAUACCGCAUAACGUCGCAAGACCAAAGUGGGGGACCUUCGGGCCUCUUGCCAUCGGCUGUGCCCAGAUGGGAUUCGCUAGUAGGUGGGGGAACGGCUCACCUAGGCGACGGUCCCUAGCUGGUCUGAGAGGAUGACCAGCCAAAAUGGAACUGAGACCACGUCCAGACUCCUACGGGAGGCAGCCGUUGGGAAUAUUGCAGAAUGGGCGCAAGCCUGAUGGAGCCAUGCCGCGUGUAUGAAGAAGGCCUUCGGGUUGUAAAAUACUUUCAGCGGGGAGGAAGGGAGUAAAGUUAAUACCUUUGCUCAUUGACGUUACCCGCAGAAGAAGCACCGGCUAACUCCGUG